UCCUGUGUGGCUCAGUUGGUAGGGCAUGGUGUUUGCAACGCCAGGUUUGUGGGUUCGAUUCCCACGGGGGAA
RNAcentral lists this transfer RNA (72 nucleotides) under Salmo salar (Atlantic salmon). It matches the Rfam family "tRNA". Rfam says of the family: Transfer RNA (tRNA) molecules are approximately 80 nucleotides in length. Their secondary structure includes four short double-helical elements and three loops (D, anti-codon, and T loops). Lineage: Eukaryota; Metazoa; Chordata; Actinopteri; Salmoniformes; Salmonidae. The record is from Rfam by way of RNAcentral.